UACGAAGGGGGCUAGCGUUGCUCGGAAUCACUGGGCGUAAAGCGCACGUAGGCGGAUUGUUAAGUCAGGGGUGAAAUCCUGGAGCUCAACUCCAGAACUGCCUUUGAUACUGGCGAUCUUGAGUCCGGGAGAGGUGAGUGGAACUGCGAGUGUAGAGGUGAAAUUCGUAGAUAUUGGGAAGAACACCAGUGGCGAAGGCGGCUAACUGGUCCAGUACUGACGCUGAGGUGCGAAAGCGUGGGGAGCAAACAGG
RNAcentral lists this ribosomal RNA (253 nucleotides) under uncultured bacterium. RNAcentral's name for it is "partial 16S ribosomal RNA". It matches the Rfam family "Bacterial small subunit ribosomal RNA", at positions 524 to 776 of the family's 1533-position model. The record is from RNAcentral.